RNAcentral lists this unclassified non-coding RNA (652 nucleotides) under Schoenoplectiella juncea. RNAcentral's name for it is "Schoenoplectus junceus partial external transcribed spacer 1f". Lineage: Eukaryota; Viridiplantae; Streptophyta; Magnoliopsida; Poales; Cyperaceae. The record is from RNAcentral.
UCAUUGACAUGCUUUGCAUGGCCGGCUCCCUGCACUUCGGUGCGGCCAACGGUUGUGGGGCUGUCUCUCCACUUGACCCUUUGUUCAGCUGGUUUGCUUGCCGGGUUUUGGCUUUUAUUGGUUGCCUGUGCGUUUCUACCCUUGCGGAUGCGGUAGCUGAUUAGUCACGUCCCGAAUUAAUUUUGCCUGCUAAGCCGAUGCUUAGCCAUCGGCGAGGCGGCCGAGUGCUGGCAAACUCCUCGUGUUCCCAUGGCGUGUGCGCCAUGAAAAUGCAUUGGGUUGUUUGUCAGGUCUCGUGGAUGCCGUGCCUGUUGUAAGCAUUGUGGGCUUUGCGUCCGCAGUUGUGAGGUUGUCCCUGCAUGCGUAAUUGCCCUGUCUCUUCAUUGUGAUGCUUUUUUGGAUCUUGCAUGCUAGUCCGAGUGUUGUGGUUUGAGCGAUUGAUUAACUUCUCGCUUGGGCGCUCCACGGUGAUGUGCUGCCGUUCCAUGAUAGGCAUCGGAAUGUUGUGAUCGGGUGAUGAAAUCGUGCUUUGUGGUGUUGCCCCUCUGACCGAACGGAAUGGUAGCGCUUGUUGGUGUGCGUUGUUGCAAUGGCCUGUCCUUUGAGAGGGUGGGCUAUUGAGAUGACGUCCCGGCUUUCGCUUAAGACGUGC